Molecule: long non-coding RNA, 1695 nt
Filed under: Homo sapiens (human)
Lineage: Eukaryota; Metazoa; Chordata; Mammalia; Primates; Hominidae
Description: long intergenic non-protein coding RNA 635
Source: RNAcentral
AGCAUAGCAACAGCAGCGUAGCUGAACAUCUUACGGAUGGCCCAGGGCUCCAAAGGCUCGUUUCCUAAGUGAGAGAGAGCCUGGCUGAAGCUGUAUUACCAUUCAUUCUCCAGCCUCCGAAGUCUCAAAGCAUCACUUCCACCAUACUCUAACUGUCAAGACAAACACAAAGGCCCAGAGAAGGGGUCUCACUAUGUUGUCUGGAGUGCUGUGGUGGAGUGGAGUGGCUAUUCACAGAGCCUGUUCUGCUGGGACACAGAAUCACUUGCUCCAUCUCAUACAUUGAUGAUGAUUAAUUUGUAUGUGUACCUUCCAAAAAAGAUGGUUGUGUUUGAAUGGAGGCCUUCUGGACAGGAAAAUAUGGAGAGUGCGUGCUUUGGAUUCAAGACUGGGAAUGAGGGGACCAGAAACCUAUUCUGUGGCUGUUUCUUGUUAGGACUUUCCUAAGCCUCUGGAAAAGGUUCAAUCCUGCUGAUGCUCUCCAUGGAGAUGGUCAGCAAGUGCAAAGUACAAUUAACAUUUGAGUCUGUCUGAGUCAUGAAGAAAUGGAGAUUACUGAAAAUAAUUCAUUUUGGUAUCUUCUUACAUCCUGAGAGACUAAUCUUUCCAAGUUCAUCUGAGGCUCCUCUUCUCCAUGACAACCUCAUCCAGGGAUUUCUUCCUGUCCUGGUGUUUUAUGACAUGUGGAAGGGGACUGUAGCAGGUGAUCUCCAAAGUCUCUGGAGACUUACUAAUGUGCAUCCUCAUCUCGCUUGUAAGGAUAAUAGCCUUCCUCCAAACCUCACACACUUUUGGAGGAGAUCACUUUUUUUAAAGUGCAUGGAAAUGUUUUGAAACAGUGAAAUCUAUAAUGAUAGGUUUCAUAAUUCUAACAUCCACACCAUAUGAAUCACAUCCUUCCUGAGAUAAUGAGCACACAAUUGCCUGGAUACCUGAAGGAAUGGAGACAGCGGCAGAAAACACUGCAGAGAGGUGGAAACAUCCGUUAAUAUUUUAAAAUCCCAUUACUGCUACCAACAAUAAUAAUGGAUGCAUAGAAAUAGAUCUGGAUUAGCUGAGCUUGAAACAGUCCAUCUCACACACACACAAAAGAAUUUCAGAUACAGUGAACCCACAUGUUGAAGCUUUCUAGUAUAAUAAAAAUUUCAACUGUUCUGUUGAAUCAUCUGCCUGAUUGGAGGCUACAGAAAAGAUGUCAUCUUAGGAGUGCUUGCUCUGAGUGAGGCUCAUCUUCAAAUCUGAAUGACCACAAGGAGAUUUGAUUAUACAUGUGAACACCUCAGAAGGCACAGCCCACCCAGAAGGCAGACAGGUCAGGCUGCUUUUUCUUCAUUGCUUGGAUUCAAUCCUCCGGGCGGCUCAGGCUCAAACAUAACUUAAGCAUGAUUAAACUUUAGAAGAAGCUGCCAGGAAGACUGUGAAAUCUUCAUGCCCAAGGAUCCCUAAAAUUAGGAGCAACAACCACUUGGCUCAGACGGUUUAUGGAGGCAAAGGUUUGGAUGGGAUUAGAGAUUUCUAAAUGAGGAGACAGACACUAGAGCUCACCGGCUCGCCCUCUCACUCCUACUCAUCUGAGAAGGCAGCCAGCUAACCCUUCAGCCAGGAAGAGGGUCCUCAUCAGAACCUGGCCGUGGUGGCAUCCAGAUCUUGAACCUCCGGACUCCAGACUGUGAGAAAAUAAGUGUGUUGUUUAAA